AGUUAUCUGAACCUUCGGGGAACGAUAACGGCGUCGAGCGGCGGACGGGUGAGUAAUGCCUAGGAAAUUGCCCUGAUGUGGGGGAUAACCAUUGGAAACGAUGGCUAAUACCGCAUGAUGCCUACGGGCCAAAGAGGGGGACCUUCGGGCCUCUCGCGUCAGGAUAUGCCUAGGUGGGAUUAGCUAGUUGGUGAGGUAAGGGCUCACCAAGGCGACGAUCCCUAGCUGGUCUGAGAGGAUGAUCAGCCACACUGGAACUGAGACACGGUCCAGACUCCUACGGGAGGCAGCAGUGGGGAAUAUUGCACAAUGGGCGCAAGCCUGAUGCAGCCAUGCCGCGUGUGUGAAGAAGGCCUUCGGGUUGUAAAGCACUUUCAGUCGUGAGGAAGGUAGUGUAGUUAAUAGCUGCAUUAUUUGACGUUAGCGACAGAAGAAGCACCGGCUAACUCCGUGCCAGCAGCCGCGGUAAUACGGAGGGUGCGAGCGUUAAUCGGAAUUACUGGGCGUAAAGCGCAUGCAGGUGGUUUGUUAAGUCAGAUGUGAAAGCCCGGGGCUCAACCUCGGAAUAGCAUUUGAAACUGGCAGACUAGAGUACUGUAGAGGGGGGUAGAAUUUCAGGUGUAGCGGUGAAAU
RNAcentral lists this ribosomal RNA (633 nucleotides) under uncultured bacterium. Its description in RNAcentral is "bacterial SSU rRNA". It matches the Rfam family "Bacterial small subunit ribosomal RNA", at positions 60 to 687 of the family's 1533-position model. The record is from RNAcentral.